UACGGAGGGAGCUAGCGUUGUUCGGAAUUACUGGGCGUAAAGCGCACGUAGGCGGCUUUUUAAGUCAGAGGUGAAAUCCUGGAGCUCAACUCCAGAACUGCCUUUGAUACUGAGAGGCUUGAGUCCGGGAGAGGUGAGUGGAACUGCGAGUGUAGAGGUGAAAUUCGUAGAUAUUCGCAAGAACACCAGUGGCGAAGGCGGCUCACUGGCCCGGUACUGACGCUGAGGUGCGAAAGCGUGGGGAGCAAACAGG
Molecule: ribosomal RNA, 253 nt
Filed under: uncultured bacterium
Lineage: Bacteria
Description: partial 16S ribosomal RNA
Rfam family: Bacterial small subunit ribosomal RNA
Source: RNAcentral